Molecule: long non-coding RNA, 284 nt
Filed under: Olea europaea (common olive)
Lineage: Eukaryota; Viridiplantae; Streptophyta; Magnoliopsida; Lamiales; Oleaceae
Description: long non-coding RNA (OEUR_LNC011916)
Source: RNAcentral
AAAAAUGUGAGCCUAUAACUCAAUGAGUGGAUAUUUGCAAAAAUAUAAUUUUCCAUUCAUAAAAUCUUUCUUAAAAUCGACAUAUAGCAUAAAAUUUCUUUUCACAGACAUAUAAACUAAAUAUUUAUUCUUUAAACUGAAUAGGCUGAGUUCUGUAGCUUAAAAUCUGAUGAUGCAAUCAAAACUAAAAUAUACUGUAAUCAUAAACAUCUUUAUUCUGUAUACUGCAUUUCUAAAAUCUGAUAAGCUAUGUGAUACUGAAACAUCACACCAAAAAUGUACCC